GUGAAACAUGUUUAGUCGUGUUUUGCAUCGUCACGCAGCAUGUCGUCGUCAAAUCAAGUGAUACCAGCGUAUAUUCGAACCGGUAGAGAACUUAUCGCGUGGCACGCCAAGAUGACAGAGAAACAAGCAAAUGCUCUCAAACAAACAAUGGCACAGUUUCAAUAUUACUCGAAUCUGUUAGAGGAGGUCUCGCCACACCAAGAAACCGAAGAAGAGUCUGAAGAUGAUACUGAGUCGGACUGAUCGACGGAUUAUAAAUCCGAUAAAUAUACGUGAGAAUUAAACUGUUUAUUUUAACUUUCUCAUAAAGAAUUAUCAUUUA
This is a long non-coding RNA of Dalotia coriaria, 322 nucleotides long. RefSeq lists it as uncharacterized. Lineage: Eukaryota; Metazoa; Arthropoda; Insecta; Coleoptera; Staphylinidae. The transcript has 2 exons. The record is from RefSeq and is a predicted model, not a curated record.